RNAcentral lists this ribosomal RNA (200 nucleotides) under uncultured bacterium. RNAcentral describes it as "partial 16S ribosomal RNA". It matches the Rfam family "Bacterial small subunit ribosomal RNA", at positions 8 to 224 of the family's 1533-position model. The record is from RNAcentral.
AGAGUUUGAUCCUGGCUCAGGAUAAACGCUGGCGGCGUGCCUAACACAUGCAAGUCGAACGCCCUUCAUUUCGGUGGAGGGAGUGGCGGACGGGUGAGUAACACAUGGGUACCUGCCUUCCAGUGAGGAAUACCGGCGAGAAAUCGCCGACAAGACCGCAUACGCUUCGCAAGAAGCAAAGCUCGCAAGGGCGCUGGAAG